UGGGGAAUUUUGGACAAUGGGGGCAACCCUGAUCCAGCCAUGCCACGUGAGUGAAGAAGGCCCUCGGGUUGUAAAGCUCUUUUGUCCGGAAAGAAAAGCAUUCGGUGAAUACCCGGAUGUUCUGACGGUACCGGAAGAAUAAGCACCGGCUAACUUCGUGCCAGCAGCCGCGGUAAUACGAAGGGUGCAAGCGUUACUCGGAAUUACUGGGCGUAAAGCGUGCGUAGGUGGUUGUUUAAGUCUGAUGUGAAAGCCCUGGGCUCAACCUGGGAAUGGCAUUGGAAACUGGGCAGCUAGAGCGCGGUAGAGGGUAGUGGAAUUCCCGGUGUAGCAGUGAAAUGCGUAGAGAUCGGGAGGAACAUCUGUGGCGAAGGCGACUGCCUGGACCAGCACUGACACUGAGGCACGAAAGCGUGGGGAGCAAACA
RNAcentral lists this ribosomal RNA (427 nucleotides) under uncultured bacterium. Its description in RNAcentral is "bacterial SSU rRNA". It matches the Rfam family "Bacterial small subunit ribosomal RNA", at positions 355 to 774 of the family's 1533-position model. The record is from RNAcentral.